AUUGAACGCUGGCGGCAGGCCUAACACAUGCAAGUCGAGCGGAUGAAGGGAGCUUGCUCCUGGAUUCAGCGGCGGACGGGUGAGUAAUGCCUAGGAAUCUGCCUGGUAGUGGGGGAUAACGUCCGGAAACGGGCGCUAAUACCGCAUACGUCCUGAGGGAGAAAGUGGGGGAUCUUCGGACCUCACGCUAUCAGAUGAGCCUAGGUCGGAUUAGCUAGUUGGUGGGGUAAAGGCCUACCAAGGCGACGAUCCGUAACUGGUCUGAGAGGAUGAUCAGUCACACUGGAACUGAGACACGGUACAGACUCCUACGGGAGGCAGCAGUGGGGAAUAUUGGACAAAGGGCGAAAGCCUGAUCCAGCCAUGCCGCGUGUGUGAAGAAGGUCUUCGGAUUGUAAAGCACUUUAAGUUGGGAGGAAGGGCAGUAAGUUAAUACCUUGCUGUUUUGACGUUACCAACAGAAUAAGCACCGGCUAACUUCGUG
This 484-nucleotide ribosomal RNA is filed under the name uncultured bacterium. Its description in RNAcentral is "partial 16S ribosomal RNA". It matches the Rfam family "Bacterial small subunit ribosomal RNA", at positions 30 to 507 of the family's 1533-position model. The record is from RNAcentral.